RNAcentral lists this ribosomal RNA (322 nucleotides) under Plasmodium sp. RNAcentral's name for it is "SSU rRNA". It matches the Rfam family "Eukaryotic small subunit ribosomal RNA", at positions 884 to 1165 of the family's 1831-position model. Lineage: Eukaryota; Apicomplexa; Aconoidasida; Haemosporida; Plasmodiidae. The record is from RNAcentral.
GGGGCUUUUUGUAUUCAGAUGUCAGAGGUGAAAUUCUUAGAUUUUCUGGAGACGAACAACUGCGAAAGCAUUUGUCUAAAAUAUUUCCAUUAAUCAAGAACGAAAGUUAAGGGAGUGAAGACGAUCAGAUACCGUCGUAAUCUUAACCAUAAACUAUGCCGACUAGGUGUUGGAUGAUAGUAUAAAAAAUAAAAGUGCCUUAAUAUAACAAUUAAGGUACUUUUAGAUUGCUUCCUUCAGUACCUUAUGAGAAAUCAAAGUCUUUGGGUUCUGGGGCGAGUAUUCGCGCAAGCGAGAAAGUUAAAAGAAAUAAAAGAAGGGC